GUUGUGAAGGUCUCUCAGAUAUUGGCAGUUAAUUCGAGUAUUAUUACAUCGUUUCCGUGUGUAACUAGUACGAUCGAUGAAUUGCAGCACAACGUGAUGACCUAGCAGUGUAAUUUUCAACCAAGACGGCCAAAGGAUUCGCUAAUGAGGAUCUCAUUUGAACUCAAAAUUUCAAGUCAAAUGGAUGUCACAUUGAGGAAAUCCAACGCUGGAUUUGUUCCAGCGCUUGAACAGCUGCCGUGCCCAUUGCUCCUUCCGUUGAAGCUGGGUCUUCCAGCGAGAGGAUCCUUGUAGCUUCAGAUAAGAUACUCCGCACGGCCUCUAU
Molecule: long non-coding RNA, 325 nt
Organism: Daphnia carinata
Lineage: Eukaryota; Metazoa; Arthropoda; Branchiopoda; Diplostraca; Daphniidae
Exons: 3
Source: RefSeq, a predicted model, not a curated record